UGUGUAGGCGGUUAGGUAAGUCGGAUGUGAAAGCCCUGGGCUCAACCCAGGAAGUGCACUCGAUACUGCUUGACUAGAGUACCGGAGAGGUUGGUGGAAUUCUCGGUGUAGAGGUGAAAUUCGUAGAUAUCGAGAGGAACACCGGUGGCGAAGGCGGCCAACUGGACGAGUACUGACGCUGAGACACGAAAGCGUGGGGAGCAAACA
Molecule: ribosomal RNA, 207 nt
Filed under: uncultured bacterium
Lineage: Bacteria
Description: partial 16S ribosomal RNA
Rfam family: Bacterial small subunit ribosomal RNA
Source: RNAcentral